RNAcentral lists this ribosomal RNA (642 nucleotides) under uncultured bacterium. RNAcentral describes it as "bacterial SSU rRNA". It matches the Rfam family "Bacterial small subunit ribosomal RNA", at positions 428 to 1074 of the family's 1533-position model. The record is from RNAcentral.
AAGCUCUGUUGUAANAAAAAAACGAGCGCCAUAGGGAAUGAUGGAGCAGUGAUGGUAUCUUACCAGAAAGCCGCGGCUAGCUACGUGCCAGCACCCNCGGUAAUACGUAGGUGGCGAGCGUGAUCCGGAAUCAUUGGGCGUAAAGGGUGCGUAGGUGGCACGAUAAGUCUGUAGUAAAAGGCAGCGGCUCAACCGCUGUUGGCUAUGGAAACUGUCGAGCUGGAGUGCAGAAGAGGGCGAUGGAAUUCCAUGUGUAGCGGUAAAAUGCGUAGAUAUAUGGAGGAACACCAGUGGCGAAGGCGGCCGCCUGGUCUGCAACUGACACUGAAGCACGAAAGCGUGGGGAGCAAAUAGGAUUAGAUACCCUAGUAGUCCACGCCGUAAACGAUGAGAACUAGGUGUUGGGGAAACUCAGUGCUGCAGUUAACGCAAUAAGUUCUCCGCCUGGGGAGUAUGCACGCAAGUGUGAAACUCAAAGGAAUUGACGGGGGCCCGCACAAGCGGUGGAGUAUGUGGUUUAAUUCGAAGCAACGCGAAGAACCUUACCAGGCCUUGACAUGGAGAUAAAGGCCCUGGAGACAGGGAGAUAGAUAUAACUCACACAGGUGGUGCAUGGUUGUCGUCAGCUCGUGUCGUGAGAUG